CCGAUCUUAGCUCAGUUGGUAGAGCGGAGGACUGUAAUGUACACUGAUAUCCUUAGGUCGCUGGUUCGAUUCCGGCAGAUCGGA
Transfer RNA from Selaginella moellendorffii, 84 nucleotides. It matches the Rfam family "tRNA". Rfam says of the family: Transfer RNA (tRNA) molecules are approximately 80 nucleotides in length. Their secondary structure includes four short double-helical elements and three loops (D, anti-codon, and T loops). NCBI's taxonomy places the organism in Eukaryota, Viridiplantae, Streptophyta, Lycopodiopsida, Selaginellales, Selaginellaceae. The record is from Rfam.